Long non-coding RNA from Quercus robur (English oak), 521 nucleotides. RefSeq lists it as uncharacterized. The record is from RefSeq and is a predicted model, not a curated record. The transcript is spliced from 3 exons. NCBI's taxonomy places the organism in Eukaryota, Viridiplantae, Streptophyta, Magnoliopsida, Fagales, Fagaceae.
UGAUAAAAAGAGUCUCUAUAAUAGUGCCUGUGAGGUGUUUGAUGCUAGGUCUCAAUGGGAUUCUGCAUAUGGGGAGCAAUGAUAAAUUUGACAGAAUUACAACAAUUUUGACUUUUAAUUUGCUUAACAUCUGAACUUCGAAAAAUAACAGGCUUGACGUAGGAGAAGGAAAAAAGGUCAAUCAUGAGAGAUGUUCUAGAUCGAAGCUUCAGCUGCAAUGCAUCAGAUAUCUUGGUCCAGCAAAAAGGAAGGCUUAUGAAGUUGUGGUUCAAGAUGGGAAACUUAUCUUCAACCAUAGUGGUGAAUUCCUUCACACAGUAGGAGGUAUCAAAAGUUCAUUCUCUUGGGUGAUUUUGUAGAUUUCCAUGCACCAAUGUAUAUCUUACAUGCCCACAUUGUGUGCUACAAAUAAUAAAAUAAUGAUAUGAACAAUGUUAAUGUUGUAGCUUCAUUGAUGGUAUGUACUUAAAAUGAUUUCAAGCAACUUCAUUGAUGGCAUGUACUUAAAUGAUUUCAAGCAA